AGAGUUUGAUCCUGGCUCAGGAUGAACGCUGGCGGCGUGCUUAACACAUGCAAGUCGAACGAUCCUUCGGGAUAGUGGCGGACGGGUGAGUAACGCGUGGGAAUCUGCCCUCAGGAGGGGGAUAACGGCUGGAAACGGCCGCUAAUACCCCAUAUGCCGAGAGGUGAAAUGAAUUUCGCCUGAGGAUGAGCCCGCGUCUGAUUAGCUAGUUGGUGGGGUAAAGGCCUACCAAGGCAACGAUCAGUAGCUGGUCUGAGAGGAUGAUCAGCCACACUGGGACUGAGACACGGCCCAGACUCCUACGGGAGGCAGCAGUGGGGAAUUUUCCGCAAUGGGCGAAAGCCUGACGGAGCAACGCCGCGUGAGGGAUGAAGGCCUCUGGGCUGUAAACCUCUUUUCUCAAGGAAGAAGACCUGACGGUACUUGAGGAAUAAGCCACGGCUAAUUCCGUGCCAGCAGCCGCGGUAAUACGGGAGUGGCAAGCGUUAUCCGGAAUUAUUGGGCGUAAAGCGUCCGCAGGCGGCCUUGUAAGUCUGUUGUUAAAGCGUGGAGCUCAACUCCAUUUAAGCAAUGGAAACUACAAGGCUGGAGUGUGGUAGGGGCAGAGGGAAUUCCCGGUGUAGCGGUGAAAUGCGUAGAUAUCGGGAAGAACACCAGUGGCGAAGGCGCUCUGCUGGGCCAUAACUGACGCUCAUGGACGAAAGCCAGGGGAGCGAAAGGGAUUAGAUACCCCUGUAGUCCUGGCCGUAAACGAUGAACACUAGGUGUCGGGGGAAUCGACCCCCUCGGUGUCGUAGCCAACGCGUUAAGUGUUCCGCCUGGGGAGUACGCACGCAAGUGUGAAACUCAAAGGAAUUGACGGGGGCCCGCACAAGCGGUGGAGUAUGUGGUUUAAUUCGAUGCAACGCGAAGAACCUUACCAGGGUUUGACAUCCUGCGAACCCCUGAGAAAUCGGGGGGUGCCUUCGGGAGCGCAGAGACAGGUGGUGCAUGGCUGUCGUCAGCUCGUGUCGUGAGAUGUUGGGUUAAGUCCCGCAACGAGCGCAACCCACGUCUUUAGCUGCCAGCAUUCAGUUGGGCACUCUAGAGAGACCGCCGGUGAUAAACCGGAGGAAGGUGUGGAUGACGUCAAGUCAUCAUGCCCCUUACAUCCUGGGCUACACACGUACUACAAUGCUACGGACAAAGGGCAGCAAGCUCGCGAGAGUUAGCAAAUCCCAUAAACCGUGGCUCAGUUCAGAUCGUAGGCUGCAACUCGCCUACGUGAAGGAGGAAUCGCUAGUAAUCGCAGGUCAGCAUACUGCGGUGAAUACGUUCCCGGGCCUUGUACACACCGCCCGUCACACCAUGGAAGUUGGCCAUGCCCGAAGUCGUUACUCCAACCCUUGUGGAGGAGGACGCCGAAGGUGGGGCUGAUGACUGGGGAGAAGUCGAACAAGGUA
This 1442-nucleotide ribosomal RNA is filed under the name metagenome. Its description in RNAcentral is "bacterial SSU rRNA". It matches the Rfam family "Bacterial small subunit ribosomal RNA". The record is from RNAcentral.